AUAGGAUUGAGGGGUUGGAAGAGACCUUUUAGAACAGCUGGUCGUUAUGUCAAGCGGGUGUCCGCACUAAGUUCAGCAUCAAUAUGGUGACCUCCUGGGAGCAGGGGGCCACCAGGUUGCCUAAGGAUGAAUGAACUGGACCAGAUCAGAAAGGGAGCAGGUCAGGACUCCCGCACCGACUGGUAGUGGGACUGUGCCUGGGCAAUAUAGCAAGAUCUUGUUCUU
Pan paniscus (pygmy chimpanzee) is the source of this 225-nucleotide unclassified non-coding RNA. It matches the Rfam family "Metazoan signal recognition particle RNA". From Rfam's summary of the family: The signal recognition particle (SRP) is a universally conserved ribonucleoprotein. It is involved in the co-translational targeting of proteins to membranes. NCBI's taxonomy places the organism in Eukaryota, Metazoa, Chordata, Mammalia, Primates, Hominidae. The record is from Ensembl.